UUCUUUUCCAUGGUUUUGGUUGUUGCCUAUGGAAUUAAUUUACCAAAAAACUUUCUCAUUUUAUUUGUUCUACUUAAGUUCCAGCCAGUUUGACCAAUUGCCUACUUCUGAAUGUCCUGCCCUUUCCAUCCUACAACAUAAGCUUGUCAAAUUCCCAUCAAACUCUCAAAGUCUGUCUCAAAUAGUCUUCAUUUAAUAUGAUUUUCUUUAUUUUAUGAGAUUUAUAAGGUCUCUCUCUCCUUCAAGUUUAAAAAGGUGCUAUAAAGAUAGUAUCUUUUCCAUCUCUUAUAGGUCCUACCAGAUUCUUCCUUGGAAUUUAAUUAUUGAGCGUCAGCUUUAUUUUGUGUAAAUAGUCUGGAAACAUGAUUUUCAGCAUGGCUAACAAAGCAUGUAUGGACAAGUUUGUCAGAACAUAUUUAUACAGCACCCUAGAUAUGUUGACUGCUGCUUUCUGCACAAUGGAUACUCUUGGGAGACUCGUUGCUCAUCAGAUCUACAUAGGACAACCCAGUACUUAAGAAUACAGAUUCUGUGCCUACCUAACCUGGAGUCAAAUAUCAGCUCCAUUGCUUUCAUGCUCAUGUGAUCUGGGGCAAGGCUUGCAUAAUGGAUAUUAUGGAUGCAAGAAACACAAAAGGUAAAUUUAAUAAGUGCUCACAUCCUAAAAGAAAUCUGUGCUUUGUACCUCCACAACUGGCAAAUUGUCAUGAAUGUUUGUUUUAAGUUAAAACCACAUUUUUCAAGCAU
This is a non-coding RNA of Oryctolagus cuniculus (rabbit), 747 nucleotides long. Lineage: Eukaryota; Metazoa; Chordata; Mammalia; Lagomorpha; Leporidae. The record is from RefSeq and is a predicted model, not a curated record.